This 318-nucleotide ribosomal RNA is filed under the name uncultured Bacteroidales bacterium. Its description in RNAcentral is "bacterial SSU rRNA". It matches the Rfam family "Bacterial small subunit ribosomal RNA", at positions 28 to 339 of the family's 1533-position model. Lineage: Bacteria; Pseudomonadati; Bacteroidota; Bacteroidia; Bacteroidales. The record is from RNAcentral.
GAUGAACGCUAGCUACAGGCUUAACACAUGCAAGUCGAGGGGCAGCGCUGGGGAUGCUUGCAUUCCCUGGCGGCGACCGGCGGAUGGGUGAGUAACGCGUAUCCAACCUGCCCCUGUCCCGGGGACAGCCCUUAGAAAUGAGGAUUAACCCCCGAUGGUGUGGUUGCGCCGCAUGACGCAUCCACUAAAUGUGAAGGACAGGGAUGGGGAUGCGUUCCAUUAGGUUGCAGGCGGGGUAACGGCCCACCUGGCCGACGAUGGAUAGGGGUUCUGAGAGGAAGGUCCCCCACACUGGUACUGAGACACGGACCAGACUCC